AUAAAUAUUUCAGGAAAGUUCAAGCCAGAUCUGCUACAGAAAACUGAACAUAAAGUGGCAUACUUUUGUGUCAGGAAAUGAGGAACAUGUAUGGCUGGACUGAGAAUCUAACUGGAGAUCCCUGCAUCACUACUUACAUAUCCCAUGGAAAUAUAGGAUCCUUGGCUAAUCAAGUGUCAUCUGCAGUGUUACAAAAGAAUAUUGGAUAUCAAUAAGAAAAAGAACUAUCAGAAGGAGACGGUAAAGAGGAACGGACAAAUCACACCAUAAGACGUGCUUCAAAAUCUGAAUAUACAGAAUGAAUUUUGCUAACUGCAGAUCACCUUGUGAAAGAACACCUUUGUUGUAUUGACAUAAAAACAACGGAAUUGUCAGGAUCCAUGAACAUGACGCACCUGGCUGCAUACGAUGGCAAUUAAAAAUACAUACAUGUUUACACUGAUCUUUGUUAGCCAAUAAGACAAAAAGCAAAAUAGCAAGUUUAUCCUAUUACCGUACAUGUACUGAAUGUAUUCACUUUAUUUUGUUGAACUACAUCAUGAGUUUAAAAAUUGUACAGUAUCAUAUACAGUUUAUGGUGGGAUUCCUCCAACUUUUAUGAAUCUGUUUGCAAAAUCUAUACUUUAAGGUUACAAAAUAUUACCUCUAAUUCAUUGUAUGCUUUUUUUUGUAAAUUAUUACAUUAUUUUUGUAUGUACGUAAUGAUAAACAAAUCACCCUAUUUUCCCGCACUUUUUACCAUGUGAUGCUUUAGUGUAUUAAUAUCUGACAACUGAUGACCAGCCAGUCUUCAUUUAACAGUGUAAUACAUAACCCAUUUUUAUCUGAAUAUUUUUAA
Saccostrea cuccullata (small rock oyster) is the source of this 838-nucleotide long non-coding RNA. RefSeq lists it as uncharacterized. NCBI's taxonomy places the organism in Eukaryota, Metazoa, Mollusca, Bivalvia, Ostreida, Ostreidae. The record is from RefSeq and is a predicted model, not a curated record. The transcript has 3 exons.